Molecule: long non-coding RNA, 430 nt
Filed under: Coturnix japonica (Japanese quail)
Lineage: Eukaryota; Metazoa; Chordata; Aves; Galliformes; Phasianidae
Description: lncRNA (ENSCJPG00005018344.1)
Source: RNAcentral
AUCACAGUGUUCUAAUAAAUGAGCAAUAGGUUCUGAAUGUACAUUAUUAUAUCUCCUACAGCUAUUCUAAAAGAAAAGCCUACCAGGGAAUUCAGCAAGCUGGAUAUCCAAUUUGAUGAGUGCAUGAAACAUUUUCUGGUUUGACAUGAUCAAGAUCAUUAAACAAAACUGUACUGGAGACUCAUUUGCAGAAAUUAAUAACGUGUGUGAGAGCAUGGCUGCUAGUCACCUAUUAGGAGGAUACCAAAUCUGUGUUGUCCAGGUGUGGAGAAGAGAGUAAGAAGAGGGAAAAAAUGACGUGCUCUGGUGAAGGGAUGAAAAUGAAGACUUCUGAGAUAAGUUUCAUCAUACUGCUUUUCUGCAAGUUUCACUUUUCAUGUUCUUGAUGAGAACUCUUUAUUUCAAUAUGAGUAUUUAGGAUUAAUAAAAC